Molecule: ribosomal RNA, 1424 nt
Filed under: Salmonella enterica subsp. enterica serovar Enteritidis
Lineage: Bacteria; Pseudomonadati; Pseudomonadota; Gammaproteobacteria; Enterobacterales; Enterobacteriaceae
Description: bacterial SSU rRNA
Rfam family: Bacterial small subunit ribosomal RNA
Source: RNAcentral
ACUGCCUGAUGGAGGGGGAUAACUACUGGAAACGGUGGCUAAUACCGCAUAACGUCGCAAGACCAAAGAGGGGGACCUUCGGGCCUCUUGCCAUCAGAUGUGCCCAGAUGGGAUUAGCUUGUUGGUGAGGUAACGGCUCACCAAGGCGACGAUCCCUAGCUGGUCUGAGAGGAUGACCAGCCACACUGGAACUGAGACACGGUCCAGACUCCUACGGGAGGCAGCAGUGGGGAAUAUUGCACAAUGGGCGCAAGCCUGAUGCAGCCAUGCCGCGUGUAUGAAGAAGGCCUUCGGGUUGUAAAGUACUUUCAGCGGGGAGGAAGGUGUUGUGGUUAAUAACCGCAGCAAUUGACGUUACCCGCAGAAGAAGCACCGGCUAACUCCGUGCCAGCAGCCGCGGUAAUACGGAGGGUGCAAGCGUUAAUCGGAAUUACUGGGCGUAAAGCGCACGCAGGCGGUCUGUCAAGUCGGAUGUGAAAUCCCCGGGCUCAACCUGGGAACUGCAUUCGAAACUGGCAGGCUUGAGUCUUGUAGAGGGGGGUAGAAUUCCAGGUGUAGCGGUGAAAUGCGUAGAGAUCUGGAGGAAUACCGGUGGCGAAGGCGGCCCCCUGGACAAAGACUGACGCUCAGGUGCGAAAGCGUGGGGAGCAAACAGGAUUAGAUACCCUGGUAGUCCACGCCGUAAACGAUGUCUACUUGGAGGUUGUGCCCUUGAGGCGUGGCUUCCGGAGCUAACGCGUUAAGUAGACCGCCUGGGGAGUACGGCCGCAAGGUUAAAACUCAAAUGAAUUGACGGGGGCCCGCACAAGCGGUGGAGCAUGUGGUUUAAUUCGAUGCAACGCGAAGAACCUUACCUGGUCUUGACAUCCACAGAAGAAUCCAGAGAUGGAUUUGUGCCUUCGGGAACUGUGAGACAGGUGCUGCAUGGCUGUCGUCAGCUCGUGUUGUGAAAUGUUGGGUUAAGUCCCGCAACGAGCGCAACCCUUAUCCUUUGUUGCCAGCGGUUAGGCCGGGAACUCAAAGGAGACUGCCAGUGAUAAACUGGAGGAAGGUGGGGAUGACGUCAAGUCAUCAUGGCCCUUACGACCAGGGCUACACACGUGCUACAAUGGCGCAUACAAAGAGAAGCGACCUCGCGAGAGCAAGCGGACCUCAUAAAGUGCGUCGUAGUCCGGAUUGGAGUCUGCAACUCGACUCCAUGAAGUCGGAAUCGCUAGUAAUCGUGGAUCAGAAUGCCACGGUGAAUACGUUCCCGGGCCUUGUACACACCGCCCGUCACACCAUGGGAGUGGGUUGCAAAAGAAGUAGGUAGCUUAACCUUCGGGAGGGCGCUUACCACUUUGUGAUUCAUGACUGGGGUGAAGUCGUAACAAGGUAACCGUAGGGGAACCUGCGGUUGGAUCACCUCCUUACCUUAAAGAAGC